Long non-coding RNA from Halichondria panicea, 334 nucleotides. RefSeq lists it as uncharacterized. The record is from RefSeq and is a predicted model, not a curated record. The transcript has 3 exons. Lineage: Eukaryota; Metazoa; Porifera; Demospongiae; Suberitida; Halichondriidae.
GAGGAAUUGGGCCACAGACAAGUUCUUGUGCCCACAAUGCUAUCUGCAGCCGAGUGGUCCGGUCACCACUGAGUUCUGGUGGAAGGGUGAAGCUCAUCUUGGUGUCGGGGACCACUCUAUGCGCGAGGCUACACGCUACAUCGAACAUCUGCAGUUUGAUCAUCACACCGGCGUUUCCAGUCCAACAGUGCUAUUUCUUGACCACCAACUGAGAGAUUUGGCCUAUGUCCAGUGGCAAAGGGCUGUAAGGUUUCCCCCCAUUGUUGCACGGGGGCCACCAGGUGUUGAUGGUUUGGAUGGGAUUGAUGGCGUGGAUGGUGUGGAUGGUAGGGCA